Molecule: ribosomal RNA, 408 nt
Filed under: uncultured bacterium
Lineage: Bacteria
Description: partial 16S ribosomal RNA
Rfam family: Bacterial small subunit ribosomal RNA
Source: RNAcentral
GACGAACGCUGGCGGCGUGCUUAACACAUGCAAGUCGAACGGAGUGGCGAACGGGUGAGUAACACGUGGGUGACCUGCCCUGCACUUCGGGAUAAGCCUGGGAAACUGGGUCUAAUACCGGAUAGUGUGGGAUGGGCGCGCGGCCUAUCAGCUUGUUGGUGGGGUAAUGGCCUCCCAAGGCGGCGACGGGUAGCCGGCCUGGGAGGGUGGACGGCCACAUGGGGCCUGAGGCACGGCCCAGACGCCUACGGGGGGCAGCGGUGGAGAAUAUUGCACAAUGAGCGGACGCCUGAUGCAACGACGCCGCGUGGGGGAUGACGGCCUUCGGGUUGUAAACUCCUUUCACCAUCGACGCGGUAGAUGGAGAAGAAGCACCGGCUAACUACGUGCCAGCAGCCGCGGUAAUUC